AGAGUUUGAUCAUGGCUCAGAGCGAACGCUGGCGGCAGGCCUAACACAUGCAAGUCGAGCGCCCCGCAAGGGGAGCGGCAGACGGGAGAGUAACACGUGGGAACGUGCCCUUUGGUUCGGAACAACACAGGGAAACUUGUGCUAAUACCGGAUAAGUCCGUAAGGAGAAAGAUUUAUCGCCAAAGGAUCGGCCCGCGUCUGAUUAGCUUGUUGGUGAGGUAACGGCUCACCAAGGCGACGAUCAGUAGCUGGUCUGAGAGGAUGAUCAGCCUCACUGGGACUGAGACACGGCCCAGACUCCUACGGGAGGCAGCAGUGGGGAAUAUUGGACAAUGGGCGCAAGCCUGAUCCAGCCAUGCCGCGUGGAUGAUGAAGGCCCUAGGGUUGUAAAGUCCUUUCGACGGGGAAGAUAAUGACGGUACCCGUAGAAGAAGCCCCGGCUAACUUCGUGCCAGCAGCCGCGGUAAUACGAAGGGGGCUAGCGUUGCUCGGAAUCACUGGGCGUAAAGCGCACGUAGGCGGCUUUUUAAGUCAGGGGUGAAAUCCUGGAGCUCAACUCCAGAACUGCCUUUGAUACUGAGAAGCUUGAGUCCGGGAGAGGUGAGUGGAACUGCGAGUGUAGAGGUGAAAUUCGUAGAUAUUCGCAAGAACACCAGUGGCGAAGGCGGCUCACUGGCCCGGUACUGACGCUGAGGUGCGAAAGCGUGGGGAGCAAACAGGAUUAGAUACCCCCGUAGUCC
Molecule: ribosomal RNA, 740 nt
Filed under: uncultured bacterium
Lineage: Bacteria
Description: bacterial SSU rRNA
Rfam family: Bacterial small subunit ribosomal RNA
Source: RNAcentral